GGAUCAAACACUAUAACAAAAGUGUAGUAGAAUAUGUAUA
RNAcentral lists this unclassified non-coding RNA (40 nucleotides) under Leishmania tarentolae. RNAcentral describes it as "gA6V". Lineage: Eukaryota; Euglenozoa; Kinetoplastea; Trypanosomatida; Trypanosomatidae. The record is from RNAcentral.